This 118-nucleotide non-coding RNA is filed under the name Actinotalea bogoriensis. RNAcentral's name for it is "Cellulomonas bogoriensis TPP sequence". It matches the Rfam family "TPP riboswitch aptamer (THI element)". From Rfam's summary of the family: Vitamin B(1) in its active form thiamin pyrophosphate (TPP) is an essential coenzyme that is synthesised by coupling of pyrimidine and thiazole moieties in bacteria. The previously detected thiamin-regulatory element, thi box was extended, resulting in a new, highly conserved RNA secondary structure, the THI element, which is widely distributed in eubacteria and also occurs in some archaea. RNAcentral also lists the same sequence under 1 other name. Lineage: Bacteria; Bacillati; Actinomycetota; Actinomycetes; Micrococcales; Cellulomonadaceae. The record is from RNAcentral.
UGCGAACGACAGGGGAGCGUCACGCCCCACCCCGGGCCGACGCUGAGAGUGCGGGCAACCGCAGACCCUCGCACCUGAUCCGGUUCGCACCGGCGUAGGGAGUCGGGACGUCUCAGGC